This 253-nucleotide ribosomal RNA is filed under the name uncultured bacterium. RNAcentral describes it as "partial 16S ribosomal RNA". It matches the Rfam family "Bacterial small subunit ribosomal RNA", at positions 524 to 776 of the family's 1533-position model. The record is from RNAcentral.
UACAGAGGGGGCAAGCGUUGUUCGGAAUUACUGGGCGUAAAGGGCGCGUAGGCGGCCUUCUAAGUCGAACGUGAAAUCCCCGGGCUCAACCCGGGAACUGCGUCCGAUACUGGAAGGCUUGAAUCCGGGAGAGGGAUGCGGAAUUCCAGGUGUAGCGGUGAAAUGCGUAGAUAUCUGAAGGAACACCGGUGGCGAAGGCGGCAUCCUGGACCGGCAUUGACGCUGAGGCGCGAAAGCCAGGGGAGCAAACGGG